UACGAAGGGGGCUAGCGUUGCUCGGAAUCACUGGGCGUAAAGCGCACGUAGGCGGAUCGCUAAGUCAGGGGUGAAAUCCUGGAGCUCAACUCCAGAACUGCCAUUGAUACUGGCAAUCUCGAGUCCGGGAGAGGUGAGUGGAACUGCGAGUGUAGAGGUGAAAUUCGUAGAUAUUCGCAAGAACACCAGUGGCGAAGGCGGCUCACUGGCCCGGUACUGACGCUGAGGUGCGAAAGCGUGGGGAGCAAACAGG
RNAcentral lists this ribosomal RNA (253 nucleotides) under uncultured bacterium. Its description in RNAcentral is "partial 16S ribosomal RNA". It matches the Rfam family "Bacterial small subunit ribosomal RNA", at positions 524 to 776 of the family's 1533-position model. The record is from RNAcentral.